This 74-nucleotide transfer RNA is filed under the name Erythranthe guttata (spotted monkey flower). Its description in RNAcentral is "Mimulus guttatus (spotted monkey flower) tRNA". It matches the Rfam family "tRNA". From Rfam's summary of the family: Transfer RNA (tRNA) molecules are approximately 80 nucleotides in length. Their secondary structure includes four short double-helical elements and three loops (D, anti-codon, and T loops). Further hydrogen bonds mediate the characteristic L-shaped molecular structure. tRNAs have two regions of fundamental functional importance: the anti-codon, which is responsible for specific mRNA codon recognition, and the 3' end, to which the tRNAs corresponding amino acid is attached (by aminoacyl-tRNA synthetases). tRNAs cope with the degeneracy of the genetic code in two manners: having more than one tRNA (with a specific anti-codon) for a particular amino acid; and 'wobble' base-pairing, i.e. permitting non-standard base-pairing at the 3rd anti-codon position. The record is from Rfam by way of RNAcentral. Lineage: Eukaryota; Viridiplantae; Streptophyta; Magnoliopsida; Lamiales; Phrymaceae.
GCUGGAAUAACUGAGUUGGUUAGAGCGUGUGGUUGUUAACCACAAGGUCGGAGGUUUGACCCCUCCUUCUAGCG